Molecule: non-coding RNA, 28 nt
Filed under: Rattus norvegicus (Norway rat)
Lineage: Eukaryota; Metazoa; Chordata; Mammalia; Rodentia; Muridae
Source: RNAcentral
UAAGACAAACCUGGUACAAGAUGAAUGC